This 531-nucleotide ribosomal RNA is filed under the name Mycobacterium sp. Minneapolis DCAA6.1. RNAcentral's name for it is "bacterial SSU rRNA". It matches the Rfam family "Bacterial small subunit ribosomal RNA", at positions 355 to 896 of the family's 1533-position model. RNAcentral also lists the same sequence under 1 other name. The record is from RNAcentral. Lineage: Bacteria; Bacillati; Actinomycetota; Actinomycetes; Mycobacteriales; Mycobacteriaceae.
UGGGGAAUAUUGCACAAUGGGCGCAAGCCUGAUGCAGCGACGCCGCGUGAGGGAUGACGGCCUUCGGGUUGUAAACCUCUUUCAGUAGGGACGAAGCGCAAGUGACGGUACCUAUAGAAGAAGGACCGGCCAACUACGUGCCAGCAGCCGCGGUAAUACGUAGGGUCCGAGCGUUGUCCGGAAUUACUGGGCGUAAAGAGCUCGUAGGUGGUUUGUCGCGUUGUUCGUGAAAACUCACAGCUCAACUGUGGGCGUGCGGGCGAUACGGGCAGACUAGAGUACUGCAGGGGAGACUGGAAUUCCUGGUGUAGCGGUGGAAUGCGCAGAUAUCAGGAGGAACACCGGUGGCGAAGGCGGGUCUCUGGGCAGUAACUGACGCUGAGGAGCGAAAGCGUGGGGAGCGAACAGGAUUAGAUACCCUGGUAGUCCACGCCGUAAACGGUGGGUACUAGGUGUGGGUUUCCUUCCUUGGGAUCCGUGCCGUAGCUAACGCAUUAAGUACCCCGCCUGGGGAGUACGGCCGCAAGGCUA